UUUGAUCGCGGCUCCAGGUCCAGACGCACAACGGGAUCUUUACACGUACAGUCAGAACGGCAGCACGGACUUUCGGUCUGGUGAGUGGCGACGGGUGAGUAAUGUAUCGGAACGUACUACAAAUGGCAGGGGAUAACUACGCGAAAAGCGUAGCUAAUACUAUACGCCCUUCGGGGAAAGCGGGGGACCUUCGGGCCUCGCACUAUUAAACGGCCGAUAUCGGAUCGCUGGUUGGUGGGGUAACGGCUCGCCAAGGCGACGAUCCGUAGCUGGUUUGAGAGGACGACCAGCCACACUGGGGACAGAGGACACGGCCAGACUCCUGGGAGGCAGCGGUGGGGAAUUUUUGGACAAUGAAGCCCUGAUCCAGCCAUCCGUGUGGUAGAAGGCCUUCGGAUUGGCAAGCACUUUUGGCAGGAAAGAAACGGCACGGGAUAAUACCCCGUGCAACUGACAAAUGCCCUGCCGUCAGCGCGGCCCCAACUGCGUACCAUGACGCGGUAAUACGUAGGGUGCAAGCGUUAAUCGGAAUUACUGGGCAUGCUGGCGAUGUGCAGGCGGUUCGGAAAGAAGAUGUGAAAUCCCAAGACUUAACUUUGGAACUGCAUUUUUCGCUACCGAGCUAGAGUGUGUCAGAGGAGGUGGAAUUCCGCGUGUAGUGAAGUAUGAAUCUGGGAGGAACUUACCGAUGGCGAGCAGCCUCCUGGGAUAACGCAGUGCUCAUGCACGAAGCGUGGGGAGCAAACAGGAUUAGAUACCCUGACGAUCGCCCUAAACGAUGUCAACUAGCUGUUGGGGCCUUCCGGGCCUUGGUAGCGCAACUAACGCGUGAAGUUGACCGCCUGGGGGAUACGGUCGCAAGAUUAAAACUCAAAGGAAUUGACGGGGACCCGCACAAGCGGUGGAUGAUGUGGAUUAAUUCGAUGCAACGCAAAGAAAAACCUUACCUACCCUUGACAUGUCUGGAAUCCCGAAGAGAUUUGGGGAGUGCUCGCAAGAGAACCGGAACACAGGUGCUGCAUGGCUGUCGUGUGACUCGUGUCGUGAGAUGUUGGGUUAAGUCCCCGCAACAGGCAGCCGCAUCGUGGUUGCUACGAAGGGCAUAAUGAGACUGCCGGUGACAAACCGGAGGAAGGUGAGGAUGACGUCAAGUCCUCAUGGCCCUUAUGGGUAGGGCUUCACACGUCAUACAAUGGUCGGGACAGAGGGUCGCCAACCCGCGAGGGGGAGCCAAUCCCAGAAACCCGAUCGUAGUCCGGAUCACAGUCUGCAACUCGACUGCGUGAAGUCGGAGCUCGCUAGUAAUCGCGGAUCAGCAUGUCGCGGUGAAUACGUUCCCGGGUCUUGUACACACCGCCCGUCACACCAUGGGAGUGGGUUUUACCGAAGUAGCCUAACCGUAAGGAGGGCGAUUACCACGGUAGGAUUCAUGACUGGGGUGAAAUCGUAACAAGGUAA
RNAcentral lists this ribosomal RNA (1458 nucleotides) under uncultured Bordetella sp. Its description in RNAcentral is "partial 16S-23S ribosomal RNA intergenic spacer". It matches the Rfam family "Bacterial small subunit ribosomal RNA". Lineage: Bacteria; Pseudomonadati; Pseudomonadota; Betaproteobacteria; Burkholderiales; Alcaligenaceae. The record is from RNAcentral.